This is a small nucleolar RNA of Manis javanica (Malayan pangolin), 130 nucleotides long. RefSeq annotates it as small nucleolar RNA SNORA11. The record is from RefSeq and is a predicted model, not a curated record. Lineage: Eukaryota; Metazoa; Chordata; Mammalia; Pholidota; Manidae.
GGAGUGUACUCAGAGCAGGGGGCCUGAAGAAAUGGGUCCUCUGUUUACAACACACCCAAUAGGAAUCUGGCUUUUUUGUGGCAAGGGACACAAAACUUGUGGCCUUCCUGUGAACAGAUACCCUACAUAU